GCCAGCAGCCCUAUCGCCCUGCAGCUCCCAGCUGGCAGCCCCUCUGGAGCUCAGCAGGUGUGAGCCUGGUCAGUACCUGGAUGGGAGACCUCCUGGGAAAGCUGAGGCUGCUGCUGGAA
Ribosomal RNA from Lepisosteus oculatus (spotted gar), 119 nucleotides. NCBI's taxonomy places the organism in Eukaryota, Metazoa, Chordata, Actinopteri, Semionotiformes, Lepisosteidae. The record is from Rfam.